GCCUCAGACACCGUCAGCCUCUUCCAUCUCUGCUGCCAGUUAUAGGUCAUUUUAAACUAACAUCUGGCUGGAGAGCAGAGAGCCCCAGGAGUCUAAAGAGAGGCGGCCCUGCUGCUUGGCAGUUUCCAACCCCACCUCUUUCCUUGAUAAAUGUAAGUAAUAAAAAAAAAUUCCUCCAUUUCACUGGAAUGCCCAUUAAAAUGUAAACACAGAGAGAGGAUUUUGAGGAGGCUACAAAAAUGCUUUAUUCAAGAGACUGCAAACGGCAAAGCAAAUCUAAAGUUGAUUUUUAAACCUAGUCCGUGGUAUGUAAAUACACCAGGCUCCACGCCCCUGCAAGGCACACAGAUCACCGGGAUGCUUAUUGGAGAAUCUGCAACAUGGCGGAGGCUGUAACCCCAGCCUCCCUAGAAGCUGGGACGACAGCAGCAUUUAAGCCCCUCAGCCUUUUCCUUUCACAAAGUUGUCUUCCUGGAUCCAAUAUGAAGAUCCAAUGCCUUGGCUGCGCAUGGCAGGAGCCCCUGACAUUUCUCACUGCCGAAAUGUAGGACCUCUGCCGGGAAAUCUCCCAGUGCAAAGGGAAUUUCACAGCAGAGAGAACGGUGUGUUCUCUCCACCUGUUCCACCUGUGACCUUGCAGGAAGGCGUGCCUAUGCGAUCAUCACUCUGCAGCGUGGGGUCCCGUGUCAGAUCCGACUCCCCUGCGGGUCUCUCCCUCACCGGCAGGAAUGACAACUAGGUUCAACUCAUGUCAAUUGCCAAAGCUUGCAGAGCCCAACCUCGACAGGGAAGCUCAUAAUCACCUGAGAGUCAUCCUCUGACAUGUUUGCUAUCCCUGUCCAAAAACUGCAGAGAAGGGCGACAUCAUCAAGUUUACCAUCAAUCAGUUUAGCUCCUGAAUGCCAGUCACUGGGUGACCUGCCACUAGGACUAAAGAGGAUUCUGUUGCUCAUGCCCGCUGGAGUGGGUGCAGCAAUAAAUGGCUGAGGAAUGCAAGGAAACAGACCAUAAAGGGCUUCACACUUGCCCCCUCUCAUGGAAGCCAACUUCUUCCACCAACUCUCCAUAGUGUGACAGUCCACAACAGAGUGGCCAUGAGUCCACUGUGAACUUAUCAAGCCUACGGUCAGCUUUCCCUGCACCUCUCAGCACACAAGCUCACGCUUCGUGCAACCAUGGGGGUUGCAAGCCUAGUAAUGGGUAUUGUGUGUGUGUGUGUGUAUCUGCGGGUGUGUGCUCAUUUCUAUAAACUGUAAGUAUAUUCUUUAUUUUUACUGCCUGCUUUGCUCAGCCUGCAGACAGCACAAAGAUCAUCAGCAGCCUCCUAAAUUAUGGAUUGGCUCACCAAGUACACUGUGUCGCUCAUUAGCGACAUCACCAUACAGCUCCACACAACAAUAAAUUAAGUAACACAAUGGCUGCGGGAAAAUUAGGUGAAUAAUUCUCACGUUAAACUAAAAAGUUCUGGAUGUCUUUGGUUUCUUCCGGGCUGCUCCUAAGACAAUACAGUCCCGUGAAUAGACAACAGACAGGACUCUAAAUUCCAAGGGUACAAUUCUUCAGAGCGAGUUAGGUGUGGUUUACAUUAAAAAUAGAAAAGGCUCCUGCAAACAGACUUGUAUUUAUAUAGAAUGUUGUGACAACUGUCAUUUUACAUUAGUCAGAGAAAUCCCACAGGACUGGUAUAAGUAUUAAAUGUGGCCAUUUUUUUUGUUUACCGACAAAACAUAAUAAAAAGAACACAGCCUCCUGGAUGACAUUCUGGAGGAUUUUUUUUCUCCUCUUUCCCCGAAGUCAUUCAUAAAAUAAACAUGUGUUCCCAGUCCUCGCUGGCCUUCUUUAUGAGUCUCCUGACAGGGAACUCAGAGUGACUGGCAGAUCGGGGCCCCCUCAGAGGCCCCACACCAGCAGCCCCUCUCCAGACCUGGUGCACUCUUGCUGCAUUUCCAUUUGGUGCACAAACAUCAACUGUGAAGCAUGAUCCCAGAGUCUCCCUGGAACCGUGUAAUAAGGAUGGAGUUACAGGGUUUCAGUGUGGACAUUUAUGUUGU
RNAcentral lists this long non-coding RNA (2051 nucleotides) under Homo sapiens (human). RNAcentral describes it as "HSALNT0001164". Lineage: Eukaryota; Metazoa; Chordata; Mammalia; Primates; Hominidae. The record is from RNAcentral.